GGUUACUGCUAUCGGUGUUCGCCUAAGCCAUGCGAGUCAUAUGUUCUUCGGAACAUGGCGUACUGCUCAGUAACACGUGGAUAACCUGCCCUUGGGUCCGGCAUAACCCCGGGAAACUGGGGAUAAUUCCGGAUAACGCACAUAUGCUGGAAUGCUUUAUGCGUCAAAUGGAUUCGUCCGCCCAAGGAUGGGUCUGCGGCCUAUCAGGUAGUAGUGGGUGUAAUGUACCUACUAGCCUACGACGGGUACGGGUUGUGAGAGCAAGAGCCCGGAGAUGGAUUCUGAGACAUGAAUCCAGGCCCUACGGGGCGCAGCAGGCGCGAAAACUUUACAAUGCGGGAAACCGUGAUAAGGGGACACCGAGUGCCAGCAUCAUAUGCUGGCUGUCCGGGUGUGUAAAAUACACCUGUUAGCAAGGGCCGGGCAAGACCGGUGCCAGCUGCCGCGGUAACACCGGCGGCCCGAGUGGUGAUCGUGAUUAUUGGGUCUAAAGGGUCCGUAGCCGGUUUGGUCAGUCCUCCGGGAAAUCUGACGGCUUAACCGUUAGGCUUUCGGGGGAUACUGCCAGACUUGGAACCGGGAGAGGUAAGAGGUACUACAGGGGUAGGAGUGAAAUCUUGUAAUCCCUGUGGGACCACCUGUGGCGAAGGCGUCUUACCAGAACGGGUUCGACGGUGAGGGACGAAAGCUGGGGGCACGAACCGGAUUAGAUACCCGGGUAGUCCCAGCCGUAAACGAUGCUCGCUAGGUGUCAGGCAUGGCGCGACCGUGUCUGGUGCCGCAGGGAAGCCGUGAAGCGAGCCACCUGGGAAGUACGGCCGCAAGGCUGAAACUUAA
RNAcentral lists this ribosomal RNA (837 nucleotides) under uncultured archaeon. Its description in RNAcentral is "bacterial SSU rRNA". It matches the Rfam family "Archaeal small subunit ribosomal RNA", at positions 21 to 859 of the family's 1478-position model. The record is from RNAcentral.